GGGGAAUAUUGCACAAUGGGGGAAACCCUGAUGCAGCGACGCCGCGUGGAGGAAGAAGGUCUUCGGAUUGUAAACUCCUGUUGUUGAGGAAGAUAAUGACGGUACUCAACAAGGAAGUGACGGCUAACUACGUGCCAGCAGCCGCGGUAAAACGUAGGUCACAAGCGUUGUCCGGAAUUACUGGGUGUAAAGGGAGCGCAGGCGGACCGGCAAGUUGGAAGUGAAAACUAUGGGCUCAACCCAUAAAUUGCUUUCAAAACUGCUGGCCUUGAGUAGUGCAGAGGUAGGUGGAAUUCCCGGUGUAGCGGUGGAAUGCGUAGAUAUCGGGAGGAACACCAGUGGCGAAGGCGACCUACUGGGCACCAACUGACGCUGAGGCUCGAAAGCAUGGGUAGCAAACAGGAUUAGAUACCCUGGUAGUCCAUGCCGUAAACGAUGAUUACUAGGUGUUGGAGGAUUGACCCCUUCAGUGCCGCAGUUAACACAAUAAGUAAUCCACCUGGGGAGUACGACCGCAAGGUUGAAACUCAAAGGAAUUGACGGGGGCCCGCACAAGCAGUGGAGUAUGUGGUUUAAUUCGAAGCAACGCGAAGAACCUUACCAGGUCUUGACAUCCGAUGAAUAGCUUAGAGAUAAGUGAAGUCCUUCGGGACAUCGAGACAGGUGGUGCAUGGUUGUCGUCAGCUCGUGUCGUGAGAUGUUGGGUUAAGUCCCGCAACGAGCGCAACCCUUAUUGCCAGUUACUACGAAAGAGGACUCUGGCGAGACUGCCGUUGACAAAACGGAGGAAGGUGGGGAUGACGUCAAAUCAUCAUGCCCUUUAUGACCUGGGCUACACACGUACUACAAUGGCGUUUAACAAAGAGAAGCAAGACCGCGAGGUGGAGCAAAACUCAAAAACAACGUCUCAGUUCAGAUUGCAGGCUGCAACUCGCCUGCAUGAAGUCGGAAUUGCUAGUAAUCGCGGAUCAGCAUGCCGCGGUGAAUACGUUCCCG
RNAcentral lists this ribosomal RNA (996 nucleotides) under uncultured bacterium. RNAcentral's name for it is "bacterial SSU rRNA". It matches the Rfam family "Bacterial small subunit ribosomal RNA", at positions 356 to 1376 of the family's 1533-position model. The record is from RNAcentral.